RNAcentral lists this ribosomal RNA (253 nucleotides) under uncultured bacterium. Its description in RNAcentral is "partial 16S ribosomal RNA". It matches the Rfam family "Bacterial small subunit ribosomal RNA", at positions 524 to 776 of the family's 1533-position model. The record is from RNAcentral.
CACGUAGGCAGCGAGCGUUGUUCGGAGUUACUGGGCGUAAAGGGUGCGUCGGCGGUUGUUUAAGUUUGGUGUGAAAUCUCCCGGCUCAACUGGGAGGGUGCGCCGAAUACUGAAUGACUAGAGUGCGGGAGAGGAUAGUGGAAUUCCUGGUGUAGCGGUGAGAUGCGUAGAUAUCAGGAGGAACACCGGUGGUGUAGACGGCUAUCUGGACCGUAACUGACGCUGAGGCACGAAAGCGUGGGUAGCAAACAGG